RNAcentral lists this small nucleolar RNA (112 nucleotides) under Schizopora paradoxa. The record is from RNAcentral. Lineage: Eukaryota; Fungi; Basidiomycota; Agaricomycetes; Hymenochaetales; Schizoporaceae.
AUAUGAUGAUCUCCAGAUGACGAGUCCGACUCGUGCUUGAGCUCGGUUUCCGGGUUUGAGUACUUUCCGUGACGAUACCAUCUUUUUUUUAACCAUUCAUGCCUUCCUGAUC